Long non-coding RNA from Pipra filicauda (Wire-tailed manakin), 300 nucleotides. RefSeq lists it as uncharacterized. The transcript is spliced from 3 exons. The record is from RefSeq and is a predicted model, not a curated record. NCBI's taxonomy places the organism in Eukaryota, Metazoa, Chordata, Aves, Passeriformes, Pipridae.
CCCCCGGGGCAAACGGAGGUGUCAGCGUCAGGAGCCAUCCUAACUGAGGCCCUGGUAGGGUGCCUCUUUCCCUUCGGUCGCCAUGGACACUGUGCCGGACGCCUCUGGCAGGACUAACCCCGUGGCUUUUCUGUCCAGCGUGCUGUGCUGUGCUGUGUGUGCCUGCAGAAUUGCCACGGGAGGAAAUACUUCAGAGGGGCGUCCCUCCGGAUAAGCCCUGAAUGUGCCAGGAGGUUUCAGCCGGGAGGAAAGGAGCUGUGGAAGAAAAGCAGCCUAAAAAUAGCCAGCGGGGAUCAUCAG